Molecule: long non-coding RNA, 682 nt
Filed under: Lathyrus oleraceus (garden pea)
Lineage: Eukaryota; Viridiplantae; Streptophyta; Magnoliopsida; Fabales; Fabaceae
Description: Pisum sativum (pea) long non-coding RNA (PSAT_LNC028114)
Source: RNAcentral
UCAAAUAUUAAUUAUAUAUUUUUAUUAAAAACAAUAUACAAUUUUUAAGACAAUAUUUUUUCAUUUAAUUCUUAAUUUGUGCCCUUACGCCACAGGAAGUGCACCCUGCCUGCACGUAUUGGUUUAAUCCAAUUUUUUUACAAUCACAAACACCAAUAAUAUGUGAACACUUGGCAUACUAACUAGUAAAAAUGAAAAGUAAAAAGAAGUGCUCUAGUAUUCUCUUUCAUUUUCACGUGAAGACAACGCAACAGAGAUUGUUUAUCAUCAUUUUAAUGCAACAUGACAUUAAAAUUUAAACAGCACUGAAGAACAACACACAAAAUAAGCAACAUGAGAAAAAUUGAAAUAAAAGAAACAGUGGAUACGAGGAAUACGUGGGCCACAUCGUGAGUUGGAAGGUUUGUCCGUGGAUGUGAAAUGUUGGGUUAAAUAUGUACCUGACGGUUUCAUGGCGGUUCAGUCGCGUGUGUUGCAGUGUGAAUAGGGUUGUGAGGGUGGCGAGAUUUUCUAUGAUGGAGGUGAUGAUGGAAUGUUGUUUUGAUGAUGAUGAAAUGAGAUGAAGAAGAGUUUGAAGUUGGAGAAUUAUGUAUGUAUGAGAGAAGAGUGAGGAAUAUGAUGGAUCCCCUUUUUGUUUACUACAAAACUUUUGCUGUUGAAAGAGAGAGAUAAGAUGAAGGAU